CUAUUAUCUGUAUCAUCAGUGCUGGCAUGAGUGGGUCACAAUUUCAAUUGCUACUGUUCCUGAUAUAAUAAACAUAAAUUAAUGAUGUUUUUCUUUUGUAGAUCAUUUUGUUUUUAUGUAAUGGCAAUUUUUUUGUGUAAUUGCUGCAAUGUUACCAUUUUUAUUUUAAUUUAGGCCCUCUCUAAGUCUUUGUUAUCACCAAGUUCCUUUUUCCAGUGGGAGAUGGGAACAGCUUGGUUAAGUAGGCUGCAGUGUCUUUUGUCCUGACUAUGUUGGCAGACGUUCAAGCAAGUUUAAAACUACUAAGCUUAGGGGCUUCCAGUAAUGCCUUUGUAAGCAGUUUUUCAUUCUGAGCUUCAAAGAGACUGGUAUUAGAGGAUAGGAGUUGUGUUCACUUUCACUUUGAAAAGACUGGCAGCCCCAUUCUGGUGUAUCCUUUUAUUUGUGUUUCUCUAGGUGCUGUACAAUAUUCCAUUGUCUGGAUGUGUCAAAGAUUAUUUAUCCAUUUACCUACUGAAGGACAUCUUGGUUGCUUCUAAGUUUUGGGAAUUAUUGAUAAAGCUGCUAUAAAUAUCCACAUGCAGGCUUCAGUGUGGACAUAAAUAUUCAGUUGCUUUGGGUAAACACCAAGGAACAUGAUUGCAGGAUCAUAUGUUGCUUGCGGUCACUUCCCUGAACACAAGCCUGCCACCUCAAUGGCUGCACCGCCUUAGGUCCUGACAUGUCAUGCUUCAUACAAGACAGCCACCCUUUGACCACCAUGUGUCUCUCUGCACCUCUGAGGUGGAGUUCUGCAGUCUUCGCCAUUUAGGCCUUCCACAGUUCUUGUCAGGUGGCAGACGGUGGAGCAGGAGCUUGGAGCAUCUCAGGAGCCCCUGCAUCUUUUGCAUCAGUCCUCUUCCGCAUAGAUUUUGAGGUGUGCCUCCUUCUGCCUUUCAUAUUUCAGGAAUUUUUUAGUCUCCGGUCUACUAAGAACCCUUUCUUUUGUUCCAGCAAAAAAUAUUUCUUGUCAUGUCUAGGAAUUUAG
RNAcentral lists this long non-coding RNA (1027 nucleotides) under Equus caballus (horse). Its description in RNAcentral is "lncRNA (ENSECAG00000047488.1)". Lineage: Eukaryota; Metazoa; Chordata; Mammalia; Perissodactyla; Equidae. The record is from RNAcentral.